Molecule: ribosomal RNA, 635 nt
Filed under: Escherichia coli
Lineage: Bacteria; Pseudomonadati; Pseudomonadota; Gammaproteobacteria; Enterobacterales; Enterobacteriaceae
Description: partial 23S ribosomal RNA
Rfam family: Bacterial large subunit ribosomal RNA
Source: RNAcentral
UGGUGGGUAGUUUGACUGGGGCGGUCUCCUCCUAAAGAGUAACGGAGGAGCACGAAGGUUGGCUAAUCCUGGUCGGACAUCAGGAGGUUAGUGCAAUGGCAUAAGCCAGCUUGACUGCGAGCGUGACGGCGCGAGCAGGUGCGAAAGCAGGUCAUAGUGAUCCGGUGGUUCUGAAUGGAAGGGCCAUCGCUCAACGGAUAAAAGGUACUCCGGGGAUAACAGGCUGAUACCGCCCAAGAGUUCAUAUCGACGGCGGUGUUUGGCACCUCGAUGUCGGCUCAUCACAUCCUGGGGCUGAAGUAGGUCCCAAGGGUAUGGCUGUUCGCCAUUUAAAGUGGUACGCGAGCUGGGUUUAGAACGUCGUGAGACAGUUCGGUCCCUAUCUGCCGUGGGCGCUGGAGAACUGAGGGGGGCUGCUCCUAGUACGAGAGGACCGGAGUGGACGCAUCACUGGUGUUCGGGUUGUCAUGCCAAUGGCACUGCCCGGUAGCUAAAUGCGGAAGAGAUAAGUGCUGAAAGCAUCUAAGCACGAAACUUGCCCCGAGAUGAGUUCUCCCUGACUCCUUGAGAGUCCUGAAGGAACGUUGAAGACGACGACGUUGAUAGGCCGGGUGUGUAAGCGCAGCGAUGCGUUG